GUGAGUAAUGCCUAGGAAAUUGCCCUGAUGUGGGGGAUAACCAUUGGAAACGAUGGCUAAUACCGCAUGAUGCCUACGGGCCAAAGAGGGGGACCUUCGGGCCUCUCGCGUCAGGAUAUGCCUAGGUGGGAUUAGCUAGUUGGUGAGGUAAGGGCUCACCAAGGCGACGAUCCCUAGCUGGUCUGAGAGGAUGAUCAGCCACACUGGAACUGAGACACGGUCCAGACUCCUACGGGAGGCAGCAGUGGGGAAUAUUGCACAAUGGGCGCAAGCCUGAUGCAGCCAUGCCGCGUGUGUGAAGAAGGCCUUCGGGUUGUAAAGCACUUUCAGUCGUGAGGAAGGUGGUGUAGUUAAUAGCUGCAUUAUUUGACGUUAGCGACAGAAGAAGCACCGGCUAACUCCGUGCCAGCAGCCGCGGUAAUACGGAGGGUGCGAGCGUUAAUCGGAAUUACUGGGCGUAAAGCGCAUGCAGGUGGUUUGUUAAGUCAGAUGUGAAAGCCCGGGGCUCAACCUCGGAAUAGCAUUUGAAACUGGCAGACUAGAGUACUGUAGAGGGGGGUAGAAUUUCAGGUGUAGCGGUGAAAUGCGUAGAGAUCUGNAAGGAAUACCGGUGGCGAAGGCGGCCCCCUGGACAGAUACUGACACUCAGAUGCGAAAGCGUGGGGAGCAAACAGGAUUAGAUACCCUGGUAGUCCACGCCGUAAACGAUGUCUACUUGGAGGUUGUGGCCUUGAGCCGUGGCUUUCGGAGCUAACGCGUUAAGUAGACCGCCUGGGGAGUACGGUCGCAAGAUUAAAACUCAAAUGAAUUGACGGGGGGCCCGCACAAGCGGUGGAGCAUGUGGUUUAAUUCGAUGCAACGCGAAGAACCUUACCUACUCUUGACAUCCAGAGAACUUUCCAGAGAUGGAUUGGUGCCUUCGGGAACUCUGAGACAGGUGCUGCAUGGCUGUCGUCAGCUCGUGUUGUGAAAUGUUGGGUUAAGUCCCGCAACGAGCGCAACCCUUAUCCUUGUUUGCCAGCGAGUAAUGUCGGGAACUCCAGGGAGACUGCCGGUGAUAAACCGGAGGAAGGUGGGGACGACGUCAAGUCAUCAUGGCCCUUACGAGUAGGGCUACACACGUGCUACAAUGGCGCAUACAGAGGGCGGCCAACUUGCGAAAGUGAGCGAAUCCCAAAAAGUGCGUCGUAGUCCGGAUUGGAGUCUGCAACUCGACUCCAUGAAGUCGGAAUCGCUAGUAAUCGUGGAUCAGAAUGCCACGGUGAAUACGUUCCCGGGCCUUGUACACACCGCCCGNCACACCAUGGGAGUGGGCUGCAAAAGAAGUAGGUAG
RNAcentral lists this ribosomal RNA (1333 nucleotides) under Vibrio alginolyticus. RNAcentral describes it as "bacterial SSU rRNA". It matches the Rfam family "Bacterial small subunit ribosomal RNA", at positions 106 to 1433 of the family's 1533-position model. Lineage: Bacteria; Pseudomonadati; Pseudomonadota; Gammaproteobacteria; Vibrionales; Vibrionaceae. The record is from RNAcentral.